AGCAGGGUGGGGGGCCUAAUGGUUAUAACCUCUACCUUUGGACUUGAAGGACGUGGGUUUGAAUCCCACCUCCUGCUG
Molecule: transfer RNA, 78 nt
Filed under: Scleropages formosus (Asian bonytongue)
Lineage: Eukaryota; Metazoa; Chordata; Actinopteri; Osteoglossiformes; Osteoglossidae
Description: tRNA-Gln
Source: RNAcentral